RNAcentral lists this non-coding RNA (48 nucleotides) under Trichobilharzia regenti. Lineage: Eukaryota; Metazoa; Platyhelminthes; Trematoda; Strigeidida; Schistosomatidae. The record is from RNAcentral.
AUCCAGAUGACGAGUCUCAAAUAGGAUGAAAUGCCCUUUAUCCUGGAU